AUUGAACGCUGGCGGCAUGCCUUACACAUGCAAGUCGAACGGCAGCACGGGAGCAAUCCUGGUGGCGAGUGGCGAACGGGUGAGUAAUAUAUCGGAACGUGCCCAGUCGUGGGGGAUAACGUAGCGAAAGCUACGCUAAUACCGCAUACGAUCUACGGAUGAAAGCGGGGGAUCGCAAGACCUCGCGCGAUUGGAGCGGCCGAUAUCAGAUUAGGUAGUUGGUGAGGUAAAGGCUCACCAAGCCGACGAUCUGUAGCUGGUCUGAGAGGACGACCAGCCACACUGGGACUGAGACACGGCCCAGACUCCUACGGGAGGCAGCAGUGGGGAAUUUUGGACAAUGGGCGCAAGCCUGAUCCAGCAAUGCCGCGUGCAGGAUGAAGGCCUU
RNAcentral lists this ribosomal RNA (388 nucleotides) under uncultured bacterium. Its description in RNAcentral is "bacterial SSU rRNA". It matches the Rfam family "Bacterial small subunit ribosomal RNA", at positions 30 to 418 of the family's 1533-position model. The record is from RNAcentral.